Molecule: ribosomal RNA, 198 nt
Filed under: uncultured bacterium
Lineage: Bacteria
Description: partial 16S ribosomal RNA
Rfam family: Bacterial small subunit ribosomal RNA
Source: RNAcentral
ACGCUCGACACCUACGGGAUGCAGCAGUGGGGAAUAUUGCACAAUGGGGGAAACCCUGAUGCAGCGACGCCGCGUGAGCGAAGAAGUAUUUCGGUAUGUAAAGCUCUAUCAGCAGGGAAGAAAAUGACGGUACCUGACUAAGAAGCACCGGCUAAAUACGUGCCAGCAGCCGCGGUAAUCUGAGCGGGCUGGCAAGGC